RNAcentral lists this ribosomal RNA (503 nucleotides) under uncultured bacterium. RNAcentral describes it as "bacterial SSU rRNA". It matches the Rfam family "Bacterial small subunit ribosomal RNA", at positions 76 to 614 of the family's 1533-position model. The record is from RNAcentral.
GCGGCGAUGCAANCGGCAGCGGCAGACGGGAGAGNACCGCNGNUGGGAACGUGCCCUUAGUUCGGAACAACCCAGGGAAACUUUGGGCUAAUACCGGAUACGCCCUAACGGGGAAAGAUUUAUCGCUGAAGGAUCGGCCCGCGCUGAUUACGUAGUUGGUGAGGUAAUGGCUCACCAAGGCGACGAUCAGUAGCUGGUCUGAGAGGAUGAUCAGCCUCACUGGGACUGAGACACGGCCCAGACUCCUACGGGAGGCAGCAGUGGGGAAUAUUGGACAAUGGGCGCAAGCCUGAUCCAGCCAUGCCGCGUGGGUGAUGAAGGCCCUAGGGUUGUAAAGCCCUUUCGGCGGGGAAGAUAAUGACGGUACCCGCAGAAGAAGCCCCGGCUAACUUCGUGCCAGCAGCCGCGGUAAUACGAAGGGGGCUAGCGUUGCUCGGAAUCACUGGGCGUAAAGCGCACGUAGGCGGCUUGUUAAGUCGGGGGUGAAAUCCUGGAGCUCAACU